This 726-nucleotide ribosomal RNA is filed under the name uncultured bacterium. Its description in RNAcentral is "bacterial SSU rRNA". It matches the Rfam family "Bacterial small subunit ribosomal RNA", at positions 104 to 828 of the family's 1533-position model. The record is from RNAcentral.
GGGUGAGUAACACGUAUGCAACCUGCCCCUGUCAGGGGGACAACCCGCCGAAAGGCGGGCUAAACCCGCGUACAUGCCACCGGGGCAUCCCGGAGGCAGGAAAGGCUUCGGCCGGACAGGGAUGGGCAUGCGGCGCAUUAGGCAGUAGGCGGGGUAACGGCCCACCUAACCGACGAUGCGUAGGGGUUCUGAGAGGAAGGUCCCCCACACUGGUACUGAGACACGGACCAGACUCCUACGGGAGGCAGCAGUGAGGAAUAUUGGUCAAUGGUCGGGAGACUGAACCAGCCAAGCCGCGUGAGGGAGGAAGGUACAGAGUAUCGUAAACCUCUUUUGUCAGGGAACAAAGACUGGGACGCGUCCCCGGAUGAGUGUACCUGAAGAAAAAGCAUCGGCUAACUCCGUGCCAGCAGCCGCGGUAAUACGGAGGAUGCGAGCGUUAUUCGGAUUUAUUGGGUUUAAAGGGUGCGCAGGCGGUCUGUUAAGUCAGCGGUCAAAGCCCGGGGCUCAACCCCGGCCCGCCGUUGAAACUGGCAGUCUCGAGUUGGAGAGAAGUAUGCGGAAUGCGCGGUGUAGCGGUGAAAUGCAUAGAUAUCGCGCAGAACUCCGAUUGCGAAGGCAGCAUGCCGGCUCCACACUGACGCUGAGGCACGAAAGCGUGGGUAUCGAACAGGAUUAGAUACCCUGGUAGUCCACGCAGUAAACGAUGAAUGCUGGCUGUCCGGG